GAUGAACGCUGGCGGCGUGCCUAAUACAUGCAAGUCGAGCGAACGGACGAGAAGCUUGCUUUUCUGAUGUUAGCGGCGGACGGGUGAGUAACACGUGGAUAACCUACCUGUAAGACUGGGAUAACUUCGGGAAACCGGAGCUAAUACCGGAUAAUAUUUUGAACCGCAUGGUUCAAAAGUGAAAGACGGUCUUGCUGCCACUUAUAGAUGGAUCCGCGCUGCAUUAGCUAGUUGGUAAGGUAACGGCUUACCAAGGCAACGAUGCAUAGCCGACCUGAGAGGGUGAUCGGCCACACUGGAACUGAGACACGGUCCAGACUCCUACGGGAGGCAGCAGUAGGGAAUCUUCCGCAAUGGGCGAAAGCCUGACGGAGCAACGCCGCGUGAGUGAUGAAGGUCUUCGGAUCGUAAAACUCUGUUAUUAGGGAAGAACAUAUGUGUAAGUAACUGUGCACAUCUUGACGGUACCUAAUCAGAAAGCCACGGCUAACUACGUG
Molecule: ribosomal RNA, 497 nt
Filed under: uncultured bacterium
Lineage: Bacteria
Description: partial 16S ribosomal RNA
Rfam family: Bacterial small subunit ribosomal RNA
Source: RNAcentral